GCCAUGAGCGGAAAGUCACGUGACCCAGCGCGGCGGCGGCGGCGGGGACAGCGAAGGGAGGGGUGAGAGAAAGACAGAGAGAAGGACGCCGCAACCAGUGAGAACGCAAGCAAUCUAUCAUACACGUGCUUAGAUAAGCCAUCUACAUUGUUUAGAAUGGUCUCCUGGAAGCCAAGAUGGCAGAGUAAGAAGUGAGUUGCUCUUACCCUCCCUUAUCAACCUCUGAAAGCCCAUAAAA
Molecule: long non-coding RNA, 238 nt
Organism: Phascolarctos cinereus (koala)
Lineage: Eukaryota; Metazoa; Chordata; Mammalia; Diprotodontia; Phascolarctidae
Source: RefSeq, a predicted model, not a curated record